AAAUUGUUGCAAGCCUUUCCAUACGUCACAAAAUUGGCGCAGUCUUCAUCUUCAUCACCCUCGAUCCUAGCAGCUGAGUGUUGUUCAUCACCAUGGAUGAAUCCUCCGCUACGGAAACUCGGUUGCACAUCUUCAUUUCUAUCAUGAGACGACCCUUGCUGAAAUCCAAAUCCAGCUCUACUCUUGUUCUCAGCGACCUCUACCAUGCGGCCCCACUGAUCAGUACUGCCACCUUCAACAAUU
Molecule: long non-coding RNA, 243 nt
Filed under: Lathyrus oleraceus (garden pea)
Lineage: Eukaryota; Viridiplantae; Streptophyta; Magnoliopsida; Fabales; Fabaceae
Description: Pisum sativum (pea) long non-coding RNA (PSAT_LNC035260)
Source: RNAcentral